AAUAGAUACCCGGGUAGUCCUUGCCUUAAACUAUGUAUACUUGGUGUAAUUAGGCUCAACCCUGAUUGUACCGUAGCGAACGCGAUAAGUAUACCGCCUGGGGAGUACGCUCGCAAGGGUAAAACUCAAAAGAAUUGACGGGGACCCGCACAAGCAGUGGAGCAUGUGGUUUAAUUCGAUGCAACGCGAAGAACCUUACCUGGACUUGACAUGCUUUUGACCGCUGUAGAAAUAUAGUUUUCUCGCAAGAGACAGAAGCACAGGUGCUGCAUGGCUGUCGUCAGCUCGUGCCGUGAGGUGUUGGGUUAAGUCCCGCAACGAGCGCAACCCUUGUCGUUAGUUGCCAACACGUAAUGGUGGGCACUCUAGCGAGACUGCCUAGGUUAACUAGGAGGAAGGUGAGGAUGACGUCAAGUCCGCAUGGCCUUUAUGUCCAGGGCUACACACGUGCUACAAUGGUCGGUACAAAGGGAAGCGAAGUCGUGAGAUGGGGCAAAUCCUCAAAGCCGGCCUCAGUUCGGA
Molecule: ribosomal RNA, 522 nt
Filed under: uncultured bacterium
Lineage: Bacteria
Description: bacterial SSU rRNA
Rfam family: Bacterial small subunit ribosomal RNA
Source: RNAcentral